This 85-nucleotide transfer RNA is filed under the name Methanomicrobiales archaeon. RNAcentral's name for it is "tRNA-Leu". It matches the Rfam family "tRNA". From Rfam's summary of the family: Transfer RNA (tRNA) molecules are approximately 80 nucleotides in length. Lineage: Archaea; Methanobacteriati; Methanobacteriota; Methanomicrobia; Methanomicrobiales. RNAcentral also lists the same sequence under 1 other name. The record is from RNAcentral.
GCGAGGGUAUCUAAGCCUGGCCAACGGAGCCGGACUUAAGAUCCGGUCUCGCAGGAGUCCGUGGGUUCAAAUCCCACCCCUCGCA